CCCUUUUUCAUACUUUUCUUCAUUUUUUUCUUGUAUGCCGCUCUUUGAAGUGAGGAAGCAGUGCACUGUGCAAUCAAACAUACUUGAGAAUAAAAGACACGCUCUAUAUGGAGAGAGAGAGAGAGAGGAUGGGGGCGGGGAAUGAAGAUAGUAGCUCGACACCUCUGCUUAUUUCCUUUCACUUAAUUUUUCUUGUCACUUGCUGCACACAUUUGUUCUUGUCAGUCAGAGGCAAGAUGGAAAACUCUCUGCUGAUGACUCUUACGGCGCUCCUGCUCCUCGGUGUUCGAGAAGGAACAUCACAGAUGUCUAAUACCCCAAACAUCACCAACACAACCUCCUCAACCCCAAAU
This is a long non-coding RNA of Rhinichthys klamathensis goyatoka, 353 nucleotides long. RefSeq lists it as uncharacterized. The transcript has 3 exons. The record is from RefSeq and is a predicted model, not a curated record. Lineage: Eukaryota; Metazoa; Chordata; Actinopteri; Cypriniformes; Leuciscidae.